This 425-nucleotide ribosomal RNA is filed under the name uncultured bacterium. RNAcentral's name for it is "partial 16S ribosomal RNA". It matches the Rfam family "Bacterial small subunit ribosomal RNA", at positions 354 to 796 of the family's 1533-position model. The record is from RNAcentral.
GUGGGGAAUCUUGCGCAAUGGGCGAAAGCCUGACGCAGCCAUGCCGCGUGAAUGAUGAAGGUCUUAGGAUUGUAAAAUUCUUUCACCGGGGACGAUAAUGACGGUACCCGGAGAAGAAGCUCCGGCUAACUUCGUGCCAGCAGCCGCGGUAAUACGAAGGGGGCUAGCGUUGCUCGGAAUUACUGGGCGUAAAGGGCGCGUAGGCGGACAGCUUAGUCAGAGGUGAAAGCCCAGGGCUCAACCUUGGAAUUGCCUUUGAUACUGGCUGUCUUGAGUUUGGGAGAGGUGAGUGGAACUCCGAGUGUAGAGGUGAAAUUCGUAGAUAUUCGGAAGAACACCAGUGGCGAAGGUGACUCACUGGCCCAAUACUGACGCUGAGGCGCGAAAGCGUGGGGAGCAAACAGGAUUAGAAACCCUGGUAGUCC